GACGAACGCUGGCGGCGUGCUUAACACAUGCAAGUCGAACGAAGUGGCGAACGGGUGAGUAACACGUAAUCCACCUGCCCUUCAGAGGGGGACAACAGUUGGAAAAGACUGCUAAUACCGCAUACUGAAGGCGGGGAUUGCGUCUGAUUAGCUAGGUGGAGGGGUAAAGGCCCCCCAAGGCGAUGAUCAGUAGCCGGCCUUAGAGGAUGAACGGCAAAAUUGGGACUGAGAAACGGCCCAGAUUCCAACGGGAGGCAGCAGUGGGGAAUAUUGCACAAUGGGCGCAAGCCUGAGGCAGCCAUGCGGGGGGGAGGAAGAAGGCUCUAGGGGUGUAAAGUACUUUCAGUCGGGAGCGUUACCGACAGAAGAAGCACCGGCUAACUCCGUGCCAGCAGCCGCGGUAAUAC
RNAcentral lists this ribosomal RNA (407 nucleotides) under uncultured bacterium. Its description in RNAcentral is "partial 16S ribosomal RNA". It matches the Rfam family "Bacterial small subunit ribosomal RNA", at positions 28 to 526 of the family's 1533-position model. The record is from RNAcentral.